RNAcentral lists this long non-coding RNA (548 nucleotides) under Dasypus novemcinctus (nine-banded armadillo). Its description in RNAcentral is "lncRNA (ENSDNOG00000052509.1)". The record is from RNAcentral. Lineage: Eukaryota; Metazoa; Chordata; Mammalia; Cingulata; Dasypodidae.
CACCUGCUCUGGGCCAAGCAAGUCAGGAGGCCAGCCCAGAUUCCGGGGGAGGGAGUGGCGCCCACCUCUCACUGGGAGGAGCAGCGUGUGCAUGAGCGCGGGGCAGGAGGCAGGGCUGGCCACCUGCUUAGAGACCCCGUCUACGUCAGGAGGUGUCCCCUCCUCCACCACCACUGCCAUGGUUUCAACGAGGAUCAGUCAAGGAAGCGGAUGUGGCUCAACGGAUAGGGCCAGGGAGGUCCACGGGUCCUUGACCCGUGUGGAGCUGGCCCAUGCGCAGUGCUGAUGCGCGCAAGGAGUGCCCUGCCACACAGGGGUGUUCCCGCGUAGGGGAGCCCCACGUGCAGGGAGUGCACCCGUAAGGAAAGCCGCCCAGCGUGAGAGAAAGUGCAGCCUGCCCAGGAAUGGCGCCGCUCACACGGAGAGCUGACACAACGAGAGGACACAACAGAAAGAAACACAGAUUCCCGGUGCCACGGACACAAGCCAACACAGAGGAACACACAGCGAAUGGACGCAAAGAGCAGACAACGGGGCUGGGAGGGAGG